This 73-nucleotide transfer RNA is filed under the name Isolepis setacea. RNAcentral's name for it is "tRNA-Thr". Lineage: Eukaryota; Viridiplantae; Streptophyta; Magnoliopsida; Poales; Cyperaceae. The record is from RNAcentral.
ACUCACUUAGCUCAGAAUUUAGAGCAUCAAAUUUGUAAUGCAAUGAUCAUCUGUUAAACUCCGAUAGCAGGUU